GCCGUGGCUUCUGUUCGCCGCUGGUAUGUCCCUUAACUUGAUGUCAAGAAUGUCUUUAUCCUCCUAGUGCCCUUUCCCUAACACCUCCCAUGCACUCUCUGCUCCUUGCCAGUCCAGUUAGGCAUCCUUUGCCUGGCUGUGGGUUGCUUUCUGCCCUUCCUUGAUACCACAUCUCUGUUCCAUUGAUGGACGCCACAAUAGCCAAAUGCUCAGGCGCCACCGUGAAUUUGGAAGGAAAAAAAGUUUGUGCCCUUCCUAUGGCUUUCAAACAUGAGUUCGGUAAGUUCGUAAAUUUGGAAGAAAAAAAAUGUCAUGAAUUUGGAAAAAGUUAACAAAUUUGAAAAAGGUCCCGAAUGUGGAAAAAAAUCGGCUUGGUCUUCUUGGAUCUAUCUUUGGCAAUGUGUAUUUAGACUGUCAAGUUUGUUGACUUGGUAAUAAGUUCGGUUACCACAUCCUCAUAGCGAGAAUAUCUUCGCGUCCUUCCAAACUUAACUGGCUUCACCUUCACUCUGUUGCCAUCAACGCCAAUCUCUCCGCAUCUAAUACCUCGUAUAGCGCUUCUAGGUGUCAUCAUCAUUUUCUUUCACUUAUGUGGCUCUCGUCACCCAUCCUUGGUUUGAUGUGGUCUUGUUGGAUCUAUCUCUAGCGAUGUGGGCUUUAGACUGGCGGCGUGUCUUUAGAUUGGCAAGUUUGUCGACUUGGUAAAUAGGUUCGAUUAGAUUAUCCUAAUAGCGAGACCGUGUCUCGACGUCCUUUCAAUCUCUACUUGGAUAUUUGGGGCCCAACUCCCUUCGCCUCAAAAGUCGGCCAUCUCUACUAUACUACCUUUAUAGACAAUUUCUCUCGACGCGCAUGGAUAUAUUUCACACCUUGUUGUGAGGUCUUAUCUAUCUGUAAGAAGUUUGUCGCCAGGGUUCAUACCCAAUUUUCUUCACUCCUACUAUUUGUGUCUUCCAUGCAAUUCUUCUCAUGACUAUAUCUCUCAUUUGUUGCACAGAUUCCUUGCUAAGCAGGGCACGCUAGCUCAGUUGUCUUGUCCUGGUGCUCAUUCUCAGAAUGGUGUUGCUGAGCGCAAGCAUCGUCACCUUAAGAAGCUGGUGCGUUAAUGGCUGUUGCCUCUCUUCCGCCACACUUUUGGGUUGAGGUUAUUUCUACUUCAACCUAUCUCACCAACAUUCAUCCUUCCUCUGCGGUGAGAUUCCUCUCGGGCGUCUUUUUGGUUGUUCACGUGACUACUCGACGCUUCGUUUAUUCUAUUGUGUUUGUAGCGUUCUUCUUACCUUUGUGAAUGCCCCAAACAGACUGCUCAGCCUGCUGAAUGCGUCUUCUUAGAGUCUAAUGAUGAGCACAAGGGCUAUUGGUGUUGGGAUCCUAUGUUAGUCGGAUGCGCAUUUCUCGGUAUGUGACUUUUGAUGAGUCUUAGUCCUUUUCCUAUCCAAGUCCAUCGUCUCCUUUGCCCCCCUCCCCCUCAACGAGAUUUCUUUCCUCAAUUUCCUCGAAACAUCUAUCAUUCAAGUAUUACCCGCAUCCACCCAUCCCAACAUGUCUUCCCCUACUACUAUUGUAGACCCAAUGCCAUCAUCACAUGCCGCUUCACCAUUCAACUCGUGGUCGAACACUAGUUCUAUAUGUCAAUCAUCACUGGCGAUGAAUCUUAAGUACAUUGCCUUUGUGAGUGCUCGUCAUAGUUUCUUAUGUCUGAUCUUGGUCCUCGUCACUACGUCCUUGAGAUUGAGGUUUCUUCUACCUCUGACUUUUUAUUUCCUAAAAGAAGUAUAUCCAGGAUCUUCUUACUCGUGCUGCUCUUACUGAUGAGUGCACUAUUUAACAUCCACCUUUAUGUCCACCUCCGCUCCCUGUAAAAGUCUGGAUGGGCAUCCUUUGCCUGGUGGCCGGUUGCUAUGUGUGAUGUCUCGAUCCCACAUCAUGUGUCCCCUUGCUGGGCGACACCAUGAUAGAUGCUCGAGCACCACCAACGGUGAGCAGGAGCUCGGACAAUUAGCGCAUACCUGGAUUUUACCCACGGGACAUGCCCGAGAACACGACGCUACCUAUCGUCAAGGCCAAUGGCGCACAGUUGGAGAACGUGGGAUGCUUAAUCAAGUGUGUGACACAAAACCCGCAAACAGGACAAGAACACCAAGCCGGAUCAACGGGGAAAGAAGAGUGCACACGCACGUCGGAUGCUAGACCAAAUCCAUCUGCUGCUACUACCGCCAAUCUCUUCGCCUUUGUUGCCUUGUUUACCAGUUAUUUUCAGCAAUGGCAUCACCGCCCUGAGGUCAUUGGUAGCACAUUAUCUUUAUAGAUGAUUUCUCCCCACACACAUGGAUAUACUUUGUUCUUCUCAUAGUGAGGUCUUAUCUAUAUAUAUAAGCAUUUUGCUGGCAUGGUUCACAUUCAGUUCUCAACACCUACUAUGUUAUGUGAUGACUCUACUAGAGAGUAUAUUUCCAAGCUCUUGCGUGGAGUCCUUCAGAUCUCUUUUCCUGGUGCUCAUGCUCAAAAAUGGCAUCCCAAGCAUCAUUACCUUCUUGAGACGGCUCGUGCGUUGAUGGUCGCCGCCUAUCUUCCACCGCCCUUUCGGGCCAAGCCUAUCACCACUUCCAUCUAGCUCAUCAACCUUCAGCCAUCCAGAGCUCCAUAGGGUAGCAUUCCUUUCAAGUGUGAUCAUUUCUUGAUUAUCGGCGCUUCAAUUAUUUGGUUGUGUUUGCUAAAAAGACUGCUCGGCCUAUUGAGUGUGUCGUCAUAGGAAACAGCGAUGAGCAUAAGGGAUCUCUCUGUUGUGAUAAUGUUCGUCGUCUGAUGCCUAUUUCUCGAGAUGUGACUUGAUGGGUCUCCUCCGUUCUACUCGCGUCCAUCUUCCUUAACCUUUUAAAUGGAGGAUAUCUCUUUCCUGACUUUUCCCAACACUCCUAUCACUCCUGUUGAGCCCUUAUCCAUUCAUCAUACUGCUCAUGCUUCUUUAGUUAUUGCAAAUCCAACAACAUCUCCUAUGAUUUCCACACCUAACUUACCACAUAAUUCAACACCUUCAUCAACGGUGACUUAGUUGUCACAAUCACCCGAGAUUGCCCAGAUGAUUCCUUCUCGUAUUCUUUCAACUUUUCCUUACUUUUAUACAUGUCAUUCACGUGUUAUAGAUGUGCCUACUUUUUUGAGCAAAACACAGUGGGGAAGGUCCCCACUGUAACUCUAUUUUUCAUUCAUAUGAUGGGACAAUUACAAGAGGUUGUACAAGAGUGUCAUGCAUAUAUAUAUAUAUAUAUAUAUAUAUAUAUAUAUAUAUAUAUAUAUGACAGUUUACAAGUAGUCUAUCCUGGAUUGCAUCCCCUCUUUCAAGCUAGGUCUAGCUUUUUUUGAUGAUCAUGUAGCAGUGCUCCUUGAAACUAGCAAUACAGUGUGUAAUGCUUUUGUCCUGAUGGUCAAAUAUGAUGUUAUUUCUAUGUUUCCAAAUGCUCCAGCAUCCUGCAUUUAAACAUUCUUUGGAACAACAUGUUAUUAUUAUUUUUACCAUCCAUAAGCAUAUCAGCAAGAUCAAGAUCUGUGUUCCAUUGGAAUCCAAUUGCUAGCCAAAAGUUUCGGCUAAAGUCACAACUAAAAAAUAAGUGGAGAAGUUGUUCAUUGGGUUCAUCAUCGCAGAGGACACAACUACUGCUCUCAAUAUGGAAACUUUUCCUCGUAAGAAGGUCUCUGGUAUUUAGUCUAUCCUGGAGUAGGAGCAAAAAAAGAAUUUUUGUUUAGGGAAGGAAUUUGACUUCCAUACCCAAUGAAAAGGUUUAGGAGCAUCAAGAGGAUUUGCAAUGAAUUCCAGAUAAAUUUGUUGGUUGGAAUAUUUGGUGCCACUCCGGUAAAACUGUCAUAUAUCAGAUGUGCCUACUGAUAUGCCAUCUUCCCCGUCUCAGCCUACUUAUGGCUUGCAUUCCUAUUCUCCUUCCACCUAUUGACCACCUUGGUCUUCCAAGCGCUAGAGCUACUGUUCUUGAGUCAGCUUCUUAUCAUGAUGUUGUUCAUCCCGAUACGUUUCAAUGGUAGAGGAGGUUGAUGCCCUUGAGCGCACCAACAUGUGGGAUCUUGUUUCUCUUCCUCCUUGUCUUCAUCACAUCACUUAUAAGGGGCCUACAAGGUUAAGACUCGCUCGGAUGGUUCUAUUGAGAGUUACAAAGUUCAUCUAGUGUCUCGUGGCUUUCAACAGAAGCACAGUCUUGAUUCCGAUAAAACUUUUUGCUUCUAUGAACCAUAUGACCACUAUUCACACACUUUUUGUUGUGGCCUAGCUUGAUGCUAAGAAUGUAUUUGUUAAUGGUGAGCUCCGCGAGAAGUUUACAUGCAACCACCACUUGGGUAUUCUAUUCCUGACGACAUGCUACGUCUUUUUCCUCGCUCUCUAUGGAGUUAUAAGAAAGCCCUGGCACCUGGUUUGAGUGCUUUACCUCUCUAGUGGUUGUCGCUGGUUUUGUGAAGGCACGUCUUAGUGAGCAGUUUCUUAUGUCUGAUCUUGGCACUCUUCGCUGCUUUCUUGGGAUUACAGUCUAUUACUCAAGAAAAGUAAUCCAAGAUCUUCUUGCUCGUGAUAACACUUUGUCUGAUCCGACGUUUUACCUUCAUCUUGUCGAGAGACUUAUCUACCUAGCUGCCACUCACCGAAAUAAGAAACAGAGUACAGUGCCCCUGCUCAAGUGCACCUCUACCCUCCACUAUGUGCUUUGCGGCAUUGUCGUUGUGGCUAGGAUGGUGGCAGAGGCUAGGAUGGUGGCAGACUCGCUAGCGCCAAUGCCUCUCACACGAUGUCGCUAGAGCCUGCAUGCCAGGGGACAAUGUCGCCAUGGCUCCUGGCAUUCCCACUCACAGAUCAAUGUGUUUGUGAGUGAGACUAACAAAAAUACAUGAAAGGAGACGAUGACUAGCGUAUUAGGGGAAUCAGGCCUAAACAAAAUUGUUUGAGAUCAGUUCGGCCCACUACCAAAAUGUAUUAGGGGAAUCAGGCCUAAACAAAAUUGUUUGAGAUCAGUUCGGCCCACUACCAAAAUGGUCCGUGUAUUCUACAAAGUGAGACACGCUUUUGAUGCAAACAGGACCGAGUGAGAUAUAGUCAUAGUCUAUCAGGGCCAAAUGAUAAUCUCCUUUUUUGGCAAACUUUUAACCCUUGCUUUUAAAUACUAAUUUGACCCAAACACUAAACAUAGGUGAACGUCAUUCUAUAUACACCAUAACAUAUUUUCAGAAGCUACCAACAUGAAAGGCAAAUUUGAAAGAGGUCUUUGUGAAUUCAAUAGAUGUUCACAAAUUCAAAAAAUAUGUUUGCAAAUUUAAAAAAUAUUCAAAAAUUCAAUAUAAGUUUGUGAAUCCAAAAAAUAUUGAUGAAUUCAAAAAAUGUUCAUGGCGAAAUCAAAAUAUGUGCAUGGAUUCAAAAAAAGUUUGGGAUUACCAAAAAUGCUCUCAUAUUUAAAAAAUGUUUACGUAUUCAAAACAAGUUUGUGAAUUGAAAAAUGUUUAGGACUUUAAAAAAAUGUUCACGUAUUUGAAAAUUUUCAUGUAUUCAAAAAAAGUUCAUAAAUUCAUAAAAUGUUUGCGUCAAAUUCAAAAAAUGUUUGCAGAUUCUAAGAAUAUGCUCACGAAUUCAAAAAAUGUUCACAAGUUUUUCCAAAAAUGUUCAUGAAUUCAAAAUGUCCAGGAAUUUGAAAAAGUUGGCGACUAAUUCAAAAAAUGUUCACGGAUUCUAAAAUCGAUUCGCAAAUUCCAAAAUUGUUCAUGUAUACGAAAAAAGUUCACAUAUUCAAAAAUAUUUAUGAAUAGGAAAAGGCUAAAAAAUUCAAAAAAUAUUCAUGAAUUUGAAGAAUGUUUGGGAAAUCAACUUUCUAGCAAUUUCAAAAAAUGUUUGCGGAUUUAAUAAGGUUCACGAAUUGAAAAUGUUCAAAAGAUUUAAGAAAGAAGAGGGAUGAAAAAACGAAAAGGAAGAAACCAAAAGAAAAACAAAAUAAGGACACAGAGAAACGCAUGAAAAUAAGAAAUGGAAAAAAUCGAUAACAAUCCCCAAUCACUUCUAAAAGACUAUUUUUGGUUCGUCAUCAGAUGAUGCUUCUUCAUCGACCUCUUCAGUUGACCCCCUGGCUACGCUGGAGAUUGAUUACACGACGUAGGUGUCUGCUAGCUGCUUAUUUUGGUUAUCCAUCGAUAGGCUUUGCAAGUUUUCCUACUUCCUCUAGUGGUACGGAGAGACCACUUUCUUACAAUAUCUUUUUACAAUAUCAGGUACACCUCCAUGGAUCCUUGAGCAUGGAUCCUUGGUACUCAGUUGUCUUUUCAUACAACUUAUGAUAAUUCUAAUUUGCCCUCCAUUCCACCUCUAUAUUCUCUUGUUCAUGUUCUUACUGCCGAUGGCACUCUUGGCACUUCAUCUUUUCAUGUUUCUUCUUCUCAUCAUGAUCCUCGACUUCACUAAACUGAUUGCCUGUGUGUUGUGGAUUCUUCUCAUGAGCCAUCUUCCUCGACUACUAUGUCUUCUUCUGUUGGCAACGCACUACCUCUAGAUCAGACUACUUAAGGCCUCCGAGAUCACCCACUUCUGUGUGCUGGCCGAUAUUCUUAUUGUGUCGCACUUACUGAGAAGAUUUCUUAUUGUGACAUUGUUAUUCAUCCUAAAUGGCAUUGUGUGAUGGCAUUGAAGAUUGAUGCUCUUGCCCACAUCAACGUGUGGGAUCUCAUUACUCUUCCUCCGACAUCACUUGUAAGUGGAUCUAGAAGGUUUAGACGAAGGUGGCUGGUACGUUGAUGGUUGUCGCCUCUCUUCCGCCUCACUUUUGGGUUGAGGUUAUUUCUGCUUCGACCUAUCUCAACAUUCACCAUUCCUUUGCUCUGCAGGAUGAGAUUCCUCUCGAGCGUCUUUUUGGUCGUUCUUGUGAUGCUUCUUUUGUUCUAUUGCGUUUUUAGCGUUCUUCUUACCUUUGUGAGCACCCCAAACUGAUUGCUCAGCCUGCUGAAUGUGUCUUCUUAGUGUCUAGUGAUGAGCACAAGGGCUAUUAGUGUUGGGAUCCUAUCGGGAGUCGGAUACGCAUUUCUCGGUAUGUGACUUUUCAUGAGUCUCGUCCUUUCUAUCUAGGUCCAUCGUCUCCUUUGGCCUCACACAUUAACGAUAUUUCUUUACUCAACUUCCUCGAUACUCCUAUCACUCAUGUAUUGCCUUCUUCCACCCAUCCCACUGGGUCUUCCCGCUACACCACCUUGUUUGUUACCUCGGGCUACCUCACCUCACUUGUCCCUUAAGGCUUCCUGAUGAUUCUUCCUCAUCCUCUUCACUACACUACCAGUGCACGUGUUGUGGAUUCUUCUGAUGUAGGUUUGUAGUUAUAAUUAUAUCAUUUUAGAAAUCGUAUGUAGGUUUGACUAGAUGUCUAGGCCCAUGUCUGUACUCUAUAAUAUCAUACGUAAAUACAAGGAUGUGCCUUAACUUAUCACCAUCCUCUAGAAGGCAAUCUCUAUUUCAACCUAGGGCGUGCAUUACAUGAUGGAAAAUACAAAAAUCUUUCAAACUUUGACAAAAACUUAUAGAAGUAAUUGUAACUGAAAUAAAUAGCUAUGUUUGCGAUCUCAAAAGGAAGAUAUUAAUGAUGAGGUUUCGAUCAUACUUACAAAGUGAACUCACGUGAGCUGUAGAACGAUCCUCAUUUCCGAGGAAUUGAGUAUUUGAAGUUGGUGAAUGAAAACUUAAAUCCAUUAGUAGAUCAAUCUAUAGGAAACGAGGGGAAAAGGGAGUUACACUUGCCUGUUUUACUAAUGACCUUACAAAGAAUUGUAACUAGACACUGUGCAACCACCAAGAUGGUGCUUGAGUGUGCAUCUACCAUGCAGCACAUAGAAGAUUUGAAUAUAUAUUGGGUAUAUGGCCUAACCACAGGAGCAAGUUAGACUUAAAACUACCUGUGGAUCUGAAAAUGUCACAAAGCAAAAGCAGCAGUAGCGGUUUGUGUGUCUCUACAGCAUGGUCUACAAUAAGAAAUACAGACCAAAGCAUAAUAGUAAGCAUCUGCCAACCUUUGAACUUCAUGAUGAAGGGCAAAAAAAUCAGUAAAUAACAACAAGGAUUCAUUACCACAACAUUUGUCGUAGUUCGUUCGAAAUUGUAGCAUACAACAGCUUAUAAAUGGAUUGGCACACACAAAAACUGGAAAUUUGCACUUUGACAAGGUAGCAAAAGGAAACAUUACAAACAUAUGCAAGUCUAAAGAAGCUAGUCUCCUUAAAAAACAUGAUUCUCUUUUGGAAUAAACUAGCACAUAUGCAUAUGCAUUGCAACGAGGACAUAAAUAUUCUAGCAGUUCAACACCCAUCGUCUAUGAUUUGAAAUUCUGGUUGAGAAAAGAGGUGUUAAGUUCUUGUAAAAAUCCUAAUUCUAUAUACAACAAUGGAAUUUUGUCACUCUAUCAACCAUUGUUGUUAAACUGAAUCAAUAUAACUACAAUCGGGAUACCUUGUGUCAGCUUAUAGAAGUGCUAAGACUAUCGCAGCAAGUAUACCUUGUACAUUGAACAAAGCAGCCAUAUGAACAUAUGACAAGCAAGGUAAGUACGACAAAUACACUAACUGUUAAGCUCAUGCUGAGUAGGGUCAUACACAUUAAAUGCAACUCAGGAGAAUUUCUCUUUUAUCCUUGUUACCAGCACACAAUUAUAAUGAGCACCAGAUGCCACAAAUACAUCAUCUAUCGAAAUCAUCCACCCACACACCUACUAGCAAUACACCUGCAGAACCCACACAGGGAUCUUCUGAUACAGAACUUGUCGUGGAAUUAUCACGUCAGAUGUCCUAGUGUGAGGACUUAGUCGUUGAGCCAUCACAACGAGAUUAGCUUAAAGGGGUUAAACCGGACAAAGGACACGGGGAGUUUAUACUGGUUCGGCCCCUUGCGGUGAAGGUAAAAGCCUACGAUCCAGUUGUGGUGGAAUUGAUGGGGUUUCGAUGACUAGGGAGCGAAUCCGCUUUGCCUAGCUCUCGAGUAGUUGUUUCUUGUCCUUGAACCACCGUCGGGUCGUCCCUUUAUAUACACAGGUUGACGCCCGGCGGUUUAUAGAAUCCCGGCCGGCUCAUACACGUGUCCGGCUCGGUUUCUUCCCUUUCCUAUCUUACAACACAAGUUACAUAGUAUAUGGCGGUUUAUGUCUACGGGCCCUAAUCCGCCUUUGGGCCCUGGGCCUCUAAGUCUCUUCAGUAAAGCGUCAUACUCCUUGUCUUCAUGGGCUUCAAUAUGGAUGACUCGUUACAGGUAUAACCCAGCCCUACCUGGGCGGUUUAUACUCAAUAGUUAUAUCCCCAACAGUAGGCCCCAGAUUGAUUUUAACCUAUUCAUGUCAAUCUUCCACACUUACAAAAAUUCCUUCUUGAACACCUUCGUGUGAACCUUGUAAUCCACCAUGACGUCAUCUUCCAAGAUUAUAAUAAACCUCCAUGAUGUCACCUGCUUAUUAAAAAACUGUACAUACCUCCCCUUUUUUAAUGAGCUUCCAAAAAUUGAGGCGAAAAUUCUGCCACUUAUCCAUUUUUUGGGAUCCUCGAUUCUCGUGCCUGUCGCUUACCCCUUCACCUUAUAAAUAACACCGAGGGUCAUUUUUAAUUUUCCCCCUCAUGCCUCUUCACUUCUUCUUCCUCCUCGUGUCGACCUAGCGCUCAAGCUCAGCCGCCGCCGCCGCGUCUUCGUCCUCGACCUCAACUCAGGCCGCUGCAUCACCCUGAGCUUACCAGAGAAUCGCGGUGCCUCUCCGCUACUCCGGUGACACCGGUAAGUCCUUUUUCCUUCCACCCUAGAUCUGUCAUUAGGGUUUCUCUAUCCAUCGGUGUUCAUCAGUGUUCUUCACUUGUUCUUCGUUGUUGCAUGAGUAUUUGAUAGAAACUUGUCAUUUUCCAUGUGCGGUCAUAGCCAUAAUCCAUUUUUCCUCAUCACAACAUCUCUUUUUGGUAAAAAAUUCCAUCUAGACCUUAACUGUUCCGCUGUCACAACUUAGGGUUUUAGAUUUUUCUCGCUUUUUUGAACUGCGGUAGAUCCGAAAUUAUAGUGUCAAUCUAUAAAACCUGUUUGUGCAACACUUAGUUAUUUUCAGAUCUGUACCUUCCACACCAAUGUAGGUGGUUUAACUUUAAGAAAAUCAUAGCCCGCCAGGUAGCAUUAGCCCUCUCUUACACCGCCGAUUCGUCAUCUCUAUAACCCUGCCAAUGUCUGAAUCCGGUUUGAUAUGUAUAUAUGCCUCAACAUCUUCUCCCUAUGACCUUGCGACGCUUUAUACUUCUCAGUCGUGAAUCAUAAACCGGCAUUGAUCCUUUUCCAGCUUUUCAUUGAAAUGGCCAAACAAUUUUAUGCUUGUAACUGGGUCCCUUCCCGAGUUACAGAAGAACAGCUGACCGAGUGUGUUGCCACCGGCACUUUAGCGAGUAAAGAGAUCAUCCACUAGAGGGUCCCCGGUCCAGAAAAUACUCCUGAACCCAAGGAUGGAGAGGUGAUUGUGUUUGAUGAUGAUCUGAGUCGAGGGUUUAGCCCUCCCGGAUCAAAAUUCUUCCAUGACGUGCUUGCUAGCUUCCAAAUCCGCCCUCAAGAUAUUGGACCAAACUCCGUGUCCAAUAUUUGCAAUUUUCAAGUGUUUUGCGAGGCUUAUCUGCAAGAAGAACCUACUGUCGAAUUAUUCAGAGACUUCUUUUACUUAAACCGCUGUAUUGAAUUUACGGACCGGCCCAACACUGAACUUGGCGGUGUUUCAAUUCAGAAGAGGAAAUAUGUCAAUUUCCCUCAUGCUAAGCAUCAUAGCCACCCCAAAGACUGGAAUCAGACUUAGUUUUAUUGCCGAAACGCAGCUCCAAAUGACGAAAAUCCUCUGUCGGGUUAUCAUACUCACCGGCUUACCAAUAAACAUCCAGUUCCCCAACGACUCACUGCAAAGGAACGAGCUAAGUAUGCACCCCAGCUUUCAAAGCUCAGAGCGUUUAUGGUGAAUGGUUUAACUAGUAUCGACUUUGUCCACUACUGGGUCUCUUGGAGUAUUUUUCCCUUAAGCCGUCGCCCCGGUUUAAUGUGUGAGUACAUAGGAGAUCUCAAAGAUCCUUAGCGGCAUAUUGAUAUUCAGCUAAGUGACGAAGAAAUUACUGAAUCUGUCAAGAAAAUGCUGGAUGAACCGGUAUCUGAGUGCAGCAAGACAGGGCUCAGUCCUUUCUGUGUUUUCAACAAACCGCCAGCUGUAAGAAUUGCAUCAUUCUUGUCUUGAUCCGUCCCCUCUUAAAUAUUUCUUUAUAACUUGUUGUCCAUCUUUGUAGGGUGAUGAUCCGUUCUGGAAGAGGAAGCCGCAGGAUAAACCGGCGAAACCGCAUGAUAAACCGGUGAAAGCGCCUCGCACUAAGACCAAAGUUACAAAGAAACCUGCGAAGAGGAAAGCCGCCGAGUCCCCUAACCUGCCCAAUGAUGAAGAGCUUGAUGAUCUAGAGUCAGAGGUAGAACUUGAUUCUCUUGGUUCUUUUUUCAUACACCUCAUUGACAAUGAUCAUUAUCAGGAUGAUGUGGAGGCUAGCCGUGCUGGUGAUGUAGAGGUAAUUACUCUUUCUUCCAACUCAGAUCCUGUGCCAACACCAAAAACCCGUCAAGCAGUCCGUAAAGUAAGAUUUUCACACCCUCUAGCUUAUUCGGAUCCGCACUUUCUUUUGAAGACACAGCAGCAUGAGCUCACCGCACAACCCGACAUAGCGGCCAAGUGGUUACCUACUCCGGUUUACCGAACUCUCCGGUUCGUAAACGUCGCCAAGAGGUCUCUUAUACUUCUGAUACACCUUAUCCCGGGGUGGGUUAUUUCUGAUAUCCUCUUAAUCCAUCUAACUCGAAUUACCAGGGGACCUCCCAUUCAUCUUCUGGUGAAUCAACAUCAACAAAGCUUCCAACCCUUAAAACGGUUCCUGGGUGAGCAGAUUUUGCUAAUCCGUCAUACCUUUAUAUUUUUUAUCCUUGCACUGUUCUAAUGCAUACUUAUUACUUUCCAGGGCCAAAGCCAGAACCAGCAAGAAGGCCAAAGUGACCAAACCGGUUGAAGACCCCAAUCGGGAUGAAACGGAACAAACUCCUGAACUGUCACAUCCAGAUGUUGACAAUAUUCCUGAUGGCCCGUCGUUGCCGGAUCAAGCAACUCAAGCUGAGAACAUGGAUAUUGAUCCAUCGGCCCGUGUUGAUGAUCCGUCAAGCCCGUCUAAAGGUGUUGAUGACGAUGUUGUCGUUACUGGCACUAGUUUUGCCUCCCCUGGCAAUCCUAUCGCUUUAUCAAAGCAUAGUGCCAAGGAAGAACUUUCUGCUAUGGACAAGGGCAAGUGGAAAAUAGAUUUAUCAAGCUAUGCCCACCUCAACGCCCAAGACAUUCAUUCUAGAUUCUUAAACCGCCUAUACACAAGCCGCGACUAUGAAGCCGGUUUAGUGGGCCUGAUGAAGGAGCGAUAUGAGGUAAAUAUCACUCUCUGCAUAAGCUUUCUUUCCUUAUGACUGGUUUAGGCUAUCAAUUCCAGUAGCCCCCAAGGGCCGGUUCAUAAUGUUAAUGUGAAUCGGGACUUGUAGCAGAACAACAGUUAAUUUUGCUUGUAUAGCCCCCAGGGACCGGUUUAUACCUUUAGGAUGAGCCGGUACCUUUCUGUCAUGAAGCUUCCAAAAUUCUUGAUAAUCAUCUUUGUAAUCUAAUUAAAGAGGAAAAAUUCAUAACCUGAACUUGAGCAAAUAUGCAUUAGCCCCCAAGUGCCAAGUGUAUAACUCGUUAUGUGCUUGGGAUUUAAAAUGACAAUUGAUAAGAAGCAAUAUGCAUUAGCCCCCAAGUGCCAAGUGUAUAACUUUGUUAUGUGCUUGGGACUUCACAUGUACACUACUAACUCGUUAAAUGUCUCCUGUAGGCUGAUCUGAGCAAAAAGGAAUCUCAAAUCGCCGAUCUUCAAGAAAAUAUCAAAGUCCCAGCAAGCAGAAACUUCCAAGGCUAAAGAAGAGUUGACCGGCGCUUUAACAGCCAUGGAACAACUGAAGGACAGCUUUAAAAGCGAAUGGGCGGGAUGGGAUGCUGAAAAAACAACUCUGCUAAAGCGGGCGGAGGACGCUGAGGCAGCCCUUAAUCCGGUAGUAGAAGAACUGACUGGCUUGAAACGGCAAAUCAAUGCUAUGACCAGUGUUGUCUUCGGUAAAUAUCCUUUUCAUAAGCUUUAAAUAAGUAACAUCCAUGGAACUGCCGGUUUAAUAAUAUUUUGACCAUUGCAGGUAGCCGUGUUACUCAUCUUGGCUUGGACAUGCUCAAAAAACUGAAGGCUGCUUAUACACUGAUAGAGAAAUUGUAUACCGAUGCUCAACGGGUCAUCUGCACAGCUUCACAUAAUAAACCGCCCCCAACUUUAAUCAAGGAAAUGUUGGAAAAAUUAUCUAUGAUGCCUGCCUGGCUUGAGGAAUUGAAGAAAUCAGCUGCUAGGGCCGGUGCUCUUACAACAUUGACUCGGGCCAAGGCAUGGAUAUCUGACCUUGAUCCGGAAGAUAUUGGAAAUGGAGAGUCCAGGCCAAAAGGAGGACGGGUCAGAUUUUGAUAAUGACGACCUCAGGGCCAUAACGAGGGAAAUGCGUCCACUGGCAAGCAAACUGGCUGAAGACACUGAUUUGUCAUUUUACCAAACGAUUUAUGAUGCCAACAACAAACGGGUUAACGCACCGACUUAUGAUGUGCAAAAUCUUAUCCCGCCAAUCCAUAAGCAUACCUACGCUCCUGACCAUCCAACCUUAUAAGUGAUGAAGCUGUCUUCCAAGCCUUAACUGGGAUUGACUGGGCAACCAUUGACUUCCAGCCACUGGGUGGAGAGGAGGAGGAUGACCCAGCGCAGGAUGAUCCACAGCCUUCAAGUCAGCCUGGUGAAGAAUCAUGAUCCGGAGGCUGGUUUAGCUUCUGCACACUGCAACCCGUGUGAUAAACAAUUAUCCUUUUGGGGCAUCAAAGCGCCUUGUAAUAGGCUAGUUUAAAUACUUGGUCUGCUAUGCCAUCGUGGAUAUUCACAUUGCAUAAUAAUGUUAAUCUGUCAUGAUUAUGCUAUGUCUGCUUAUGAUCUUUAGCAGCUUUAUUCAAUCAUGUAUCUGCAUAUAACAGGUUUAAAGUGUCCUGGCGGUUUAUCGCCGGACGGGUCAUAACGCCCAACAUAAAACCAGGGUUUUAUAACCAAGGUUGUACUUUUAAGAAAAAAUAUGAAAUAUAUCAUACCUAUGACAUUGAAUCACAUCGUUGGUUUACCAACUUAUUGUAGUAAGGGUGACAACCCAAAUCUUGAGUACUGAUAACUCCCAUCAUGUUUUGCUGGUUUAUAAUGAAGCCGUACCGGGUUAUAAUAAACACCGGAUUAUCCAUAUAUCAUACUGGCGACUUGUUGUCAAAGCCAAACCGGGUUAACAAACACCGGAUUAUAGUUGAUCAUAUGCUGACAACUUAUAGUUGAAAGCCAAGCUGGGUCAAUUGACACCGGUCAUCUUGUAAGUUUGUACUUGGCAACUCAAAAGCCAGACCGGGUUAGUAAGCACCCGAUUUAACAUAAACCUCAUCGAAAUAAACAUCGAAAAGAAAGAUUUGCGAAGAAAACAUGCAAAAAGGCAAGACUUUUCAUGGGCCGCUAGGCCACUGAGUUAAACCAUUUUACAAAGCCUUAUAAGAUGGACCUCACAUUAACCAAUCGUCAAUUUAACUAUGACAAGUUCAGGGUUUUUAUAAGAUUGGCUAUCAAACGUUCGACGGGUCUUACCAGGAUUACCUGGACGGAGUGACUUACUUAAAAAAGGCAGGAUAACUCGGGGUUUUAGGUGAAUACACCUGGCUUCCAAGCCUGGCUUUUAUAGCCUAUUGCAAGGUUAUAGACUCUUUGUUUUUGUAGAAGCAAAGAGCCCCCAAGCAAUAUUUUGAGCUGUGCUCAAUGGGUGCCUAUGUUUGAGUUGUGCUUUGCAACAAACUCUCUUUGGCUUCUUAUGAUGUUGGGUUUGAAGCCCCCAAGCUCUUUUUUUUCUAGCUUUAUAAGCCGGAUUAAUCAGAACUCCGCUUUAUAAACAGAAGCCCCCAUGUAACAAAGAAAACUUUAAGGAAGAACGGCAGAGGGCCCACUUCAGCAAGGAUGCCAGUUUAUUAUAUUGAUCAUAAUAUAUACAUUGUCAAUAAUAUGUACAUAAUAGGAGCCUACGGCUCAGGUGUAGUAAGGCCGAAGAUGAGCAAUAUUCCACGGCCGGCGGGUCUCCUCCGAUUUGCGUGAGUCUUUGUGCUCUCGAACAUCGAUAAGGUAGUAUGACCCGUUGUUCAGAUUCUUGCUAACCACAAAGGGUCCUUCCCAAGCUGAGGAUAACUUGUGCAUAUCAGUCUGAUCCUAGAUAAGCCAGAGCACUAAGUCGCCUUCUUGAAAAGCUCUGGUUUUAACCCCGACGGCUAUGAUAAUGCCGCAAAUCUUGCUGAUAAAUCGCCGAACGAGCCACCGCUACGUCUUGUUUUUCAUCUAACAGGUCCAAUAUGUCCUGGCGUUCUUGUUCGUUGUCCGCUUCAACAUAAGCUGCCACCCGAGGCGAGUCAUGGCGAAUGUCACUGGGGAGAACUGCUUCUGAUUCGUAAACCAUGAAGAAGGGUGUAUAACCCGUAGAUCUAUUGGGGGUGGUAUUAAUGCUCCUCAAUACGGAUGGAAGCUCUUCCACCCAACAACCAGCAUCCUCUGCAAAGGAACCAUAAGCCGGGGCUUGAUGCCUUUCAGGAUUUCUUGAUUAGCUCUCUCAGCUUGACCAUUAGACUGGGGGUGAGCCACCAAUGACACAUCAAGCCGGAUGUGCUCACGUUGACAGAACUCUUCCAUAGCACCCUUGGAGAGGUUUGUGCCAUUAUCUGUUAUGAUAUUGUGUGGAAAACCAAAGCGGAAAAUCACCACCUUCAUGAAUUGAACCGCCGUGGCUGCAUCACACUUGCUGACUGGCUCCGCCUCUACCCACUUAGUGAACUUAUCAACCGCCACCAGAAGGUUGGUCUUCUUAUCCUUGGACCUCUUAAAGGGCCCAAAAAUAUCUAGCCCCCAAGUUGCAAAUGGCCAAGUGAUUGGAAUGAUCCUCAACUCCUGAGCCGGAAUAUGGGCUCAGCGUGAAAACUUCUGACAACCGUCACACUUCUUGACCAAAUCCUCAGCAUCAGCAUGAGCCGUUAGCCAGUAGAAACUGUGUCGGAAAGCUUUAGCCACGAGGGACUUUGAACCGGCAUGAUGACCACAAUCCCCUUCAUGGAUUUCACGCAAAAUCUCACAGCCUUCUUCAGGAGAAACGCAGCGCUGAAACGCCCCCGAGACACUGCAAUGACAUAACUCGCCAUUGACAAUAGUCAUGGACUUGGAGCGCUGGAUUAUCUGCCUGGCCAAAAUUUCGUCCUCAGGUAACUCGCCCCAGGUCAUGUACGCCAGGUAUGACACCAUCCAAUCAGGGAUAGCAUGAAAGAACCACCACCAAUUGAGCCUCCGGGUCAGGAACAGCCAGAUCCUCCUCCGUCGGUAGUUUGACCGCAGGGUUAUGCAAAACAUCAAGAAAGACAUUGGGCAGCACCAGUUUAUGCUAAGACCCCAGCCGGCUUAAUGCAUCCGCCACUUCAUUCUUGCGCCGGUCAAUGUGCUCCACCUGGUAACCCUUGAAGUGACCAGCAAUAACAUCCACCUCACACCGAUAAGCCUCCAUGAGUGGAUCCUUAGAAUCCCAUGUACCAGAUACUUGCUGAGCCACUAAAUUGGAGUCCCCAAAGCAUCGUACCUGGAUUAAGUUCAUUUCCUUAGACACCCGAAGACCGUGGAGCAAGGCCUUGUACUAAGCUGCAUUGUUAGUACAAGGAAACAUCAAGCGGAGGACAUAACAAAAUUUGUCACCUCGAGGGGAAGUAAGAACCACUCCAGCCCCCGAGCCCUCCAAUACUCUGUCCCGUCGAAGUGAAUAGUCCAGUACGUGUUAUCCGGUUUAUCCUUCGGCGCCUGUAACUCUGUCCAGUCAUUGAUGAAAUCCAUGAGUGCUUGGGACUUGAUGGUCCUACGAGGCAUAAAUUUUAACCCGUGAGGUCCAAGCUCGAUAGCCCACUUAGCAACUCGGUCAGUUGCUUCCUUGUUCUGGAUGAUAUCGCCCAAAGGAGCGGAACUGACCACAGUGAUGGGAUGGCCUUAAAAGUAUUUCUUCAGCUUCUGUCUCGCCAUAAAAACUCCAUACACAAGCUUCUGCCAAUGUGGAUAUCUUUGCUUCGACUCAAUAAGCACCUCACUGAUAUAGUAAACCGGCCGCUGAACCGGAUACUCUUUACCUGCCUCCUUGCGCUCUACCACAAUAUCCACGCUGACAGCCCGGGCAUUAGCAGCCACAUAUAACAGCAAUGGUUCUUUAUCGAUAGGGGCGGCAAGAACAGGCGGCUCGGCUAACUGCUUCUUCAGAUCUUCAAACGCCGCAUUAGCAGCAUCACUCCAGACAAAGUUGUCUGUCAUUUUCAUCAUUUGAUAUAGAGGGAUAGCCUUCUCUCCCAACCGGCUGAUAAACCGGCUUAGUGCUGCAAUACAACCGGCCAGACAUUGAACAUUGUUGAUACUCGUCGGUUUAGCCAGAGACAUGAUAGCUUUGAUCUUUUCUGCAUUAGCUUCAAUGCCCGUGUUAGACACCAGAAAACCCAAGAGCUUGCCUGCCGGUACACCAAAAACACACUUGGCCGGAUUAAGCAUCAUCUUAUAAACCCGGAGAUUAUCAAAAGUUUCCUUCAAAUCAUCUAUUAACGUCUCCGCUUUCCUGGACUUCACCAUGAUAUCAUCCACAUAAGCAUGAACAUUGCGCCCAAUCUGAUUAUGAAGACAAUUCUGCACAAAUCACUGAUAAGUCGCCUGGGCACUCUUGAGCCCAAAAGGCAUAGAUACAUAGCAGAAGGCUCCAAAAGGAGUUAUAAAAGUUGUCUUCUCUUGGUCCUUAACUGCCAUUUUGAUCUGAUGAUAACCUGAAUAAGCAUCCAUAAAAGUUGUCUUCUCUUGGUCCUUAACUGCCAUUUUGAUCUGAUGAUAACCUGAAUAAGCAUCCAGAAAGCUCAAACACUCACAACCCGCUGUAGCAUCAAUAAUUAGAUCAAUACGAGGGAGAGCAAAGGGAUCAGCUGGACAAGCCUUGUUCAAAUCUGUGUAAUCCACAAACAUACGCCAAGUGUCAUUCUUCUUAAGUACUAGCACCGGGUUAGCUAACCACUUAGGGUGAAAAACCUCCACAAUAAACCCUGCUGCCAAGAGCCAGGCUACCUCCUCACCGAUGGCUUUGCGUCUUUCUUCAUUGAACCGGCAGAGAAACUGCUUGACCGGUUUAAACUUGGGAUCAAUAUUAAGAGUGUGCUCAACGAGUUCCCUCGGUACACCUGGCAUGUCAGAAGGUUUCCAUGCAAAGAUGUCCCGGUUCUCACGGAUGAACUCGAUGAGCAAGCUUUCCUAUUUCAGAUCCAGGUUAGCGUUGAUGCUAAACUGCUUGGAUGAAUCGCCAGGAACAAAAUCAACUAGCUUAGUCUCAUCAGCUGAUUUAAACUUCAAAGCCGGAUCAUGCUCUGUAGUUGGUUUUUUCAAAGAAGUCAUAUCCGCCAGAUCAACAUUGUCCUUGUAGAACUUCAACUCCUUUGUUGCACAAACCGACUCAGCAUAGGCCGCAUCACCUUCCUCACAUUCCAAAGCGAUCUUACGGCUUCCAUGUACUAUGAUGGUCCCCUUAUGACCUGGCAUCUUGAGCUACAGAUAAACAUAACAUGGCCUUGCCAUGAACUUAGCAUAAGCCGGCCGUCCAAACAGGGCAUGGUACGGGCUCCUGAUCUUCACCACUUCAAAAGUCAAUGUCUCUAAUCUUGAAUCAUGAUCAUCUCCACAAGCAACCUCCAGAGCUAUCUUACCGACUGGAUAAGCCGAUUUACCAGGCACCACACCGUGAAAAACGGUGUUUGACGGUUUAAGAUUCUUGUCUGUCAACCCCAUGCGACGGAAGGUUUCAUAAUACAAGAUGUUGAUACUGCUCCCUCCAUCCAUGAGCACCUUGGUGAACUUAUAACCUCCAACCUGAGGCGCCACCACCAACGCUAGAUGACCCAGAUUAUCAACCCGGGGCGGAUGAUCCUCGCGACUCCACACAAUGGGCUGUUCAGACCAGCGCAAGUAACGGGGCACCACCGGUUCAACGGAGUUCACUACCCUUUUAUGAAGCUUCUGAUUGCGCUUGCACAGGCUAGUGGUGAAGAUAUGAUACUGCCCACUAUUCAACUGCUUCGGGUGGCUCUGGUAACCUGACUAUUGCUGCUGCUGAUUCCCCUGUUGAUUAUAACCACCCUGGUUGCCUGAUUGCCUUGAUUGCCAUGUCUGCUUUGAUUACCUUGAAAUCCUGAGCCAGAACUACCUCCAUGAUCAUAUCGGAAAAGAUCUGAGUUUUUGAACUCCCGCAUAAUAAAGCAAUCCUUCCAAAGGUGCGUAGCUGUCUUUUCUCGCGUGGCGUGCCUUGGGCAAGGCUGAUUUAACAGGCACUCAAGAUUGACAUCCGAUCCUCCACUCCGCGGGGGCAGUUUUCCCUUACGACGCUGACCAUUGUCCCACGCGUUGGUGUUAGGCACAAAAUCUGAACUAUUAUCCGCUUUACGCUUACCAUUGUUCCCAUGGCCCGCCGGGUUAUGCUACUGCCCUUUGGUGUCGCCGCUCUUCUUUCCCUUCCCUGGCUUUUCAUCGUCAGACUCGGGGUCCCUGGUACUAUCAGAGUCGGCAUACUUAACCAGAGUUGCCAUAAGUGUUCCCAUGUCAUUGCAGUGGCGCUUGAGCCGUCCCAACUUCAGCUUCAGAGGCUUAAACCGGCAAUUGCUCUCAAACGUUAUGACUGCUGAAAAUCGGCAUUGAUGCGGUUCGAUGAAUGUAAUAUUUCCGAAACUCGAUGCACCCAAUGGGUUGUCGACUCACCUUCUUCUUGGACACAGGCGGCUGAAUCCACAAUUGACAUGGGUUGCUUGCACGUGUCCUUGAAAAUCAGUAUAAACCGGGCCUUUAACUCGGCCCAUGACCCAAUGGAGUUAGCUGGCAAACUUUUCAGCCAGGUGCGAGUUGUUCCUUCCAACAUCAUGGUGAAGUACUUAGCACAUGCCGCCUCAACCACAUCCAACAUCUCCAUUGCCAUCUCAUAGCUUUCGACCCAUGACUCGGGGGGUAAGUCGGCAGUGUAGCUGGGCACUUUACGUGGGCCCUUGAAGUCCUUGGGCAGUCGUACAUUGCGUAGAGCCGGGGUGAUACACGGCACCCCCCAAGAACUGAAAACAACACCUGGUUCCACUGAAGUUGUCGGACGAACCGGAGUAAGUUGACGGUCCACGUACUGCGCUGCUAACUCAGCUUUUCGACGCGCUCUACCGUGAUCCACCACGUCCUAAGCAUUUGCACCACCGCCCACCGGGUUAGGCCCUCGAGAGCCGUUACGGUUCCACGCACUGCUUGACACAGCCGGUUCAUCAAUAUGUCUGUUGUAACUCCGGCUCGGGAGAGGGGUUGAGUGAAUCCUGUCACGACUAUACGAAUAAGCCUGCUGCUGAACCAGGGCCGUUUGAAGGAGCUCUUUGGCACGUCGCAUCUCAACCGCUGCUGGAGACUCGCCUUCCAUUGGAAUAGCUGCCAUUCCCGACACUGCAGCGAUCAUGUUAUCCAAAGGGGUGGAAAAGUGACCCGGUGGUGUCGGCAUGUACUGAGGCGGGUCAUGGUUCCGUCGAGGCGGGUCUGUCGUCCGUGGCUGAUCCGGCGCUCCUGUCCCUGGUGCUUCAAUCCGGUUUACCGCUGCCGGGUUACUGGUUCCCGCUCCUGGCAUGUUAAAGAGGUUCAUUGCUUCAUAAACCGGUGGUAGACGAGACCGAUGCCUCCUCCUCAACACGUCGUUUGAAGCGUUCUGAUCCAGCAUGAGCCGAUAAUUUUCUGCCUGAAUCUGUUGUGCCUGAGCAUCUAAAGUGGCCCGCUCCUCAGCCAUCCUGGUUUCCUCAGCCACCAAGUCCUCCUUGGCCUGAGCUAUCUGAUCUCGCAGCUUCAUGACCUCCGCGUUAUGCUGAUCUCGAUUAUCCGGGGUAACCUCUGUGGUCAACAGUGUCAUCCAGGCGUCCAAUGAACCGGACAGGACUUGAGCCGGCGGGCGCGCAGGGCCUCCUGCCCCGGUUGCCGAUCCGGAAAUCAUCGCCGCUGCAGCUGAGGAGUGCUGCGUGGGCUGCAUACUGACCAUGAAGAUUGCAACCCGAUUUGGUGGUUCAAGGGGGUCUGAAAUACUGUCGCCAUCGGAGCAGCCCCAAACCGGCCAUCUUGCAGUUGGUACAGUGACUCCGUGUCACCGGUGGAUGAUUCGCUAUCUGAAUAGACAACUGUCUCACCGUCGGAUACCGGUUCAGAUUCCGCACCAUUGAUGAAUCAUACGGACGCAUGCUUCAUGGCGGGCUAAACCCGGGCGGGGCUUGCACGUUGAGCCGUCUCGAUGAGGUCGGCGCAGAUGUCCGGCUCAGGGCCCGGUUCGCCGAUCUUGCCAAUGAAGACAUGAAAUCCUCCGAAGGGGACCCGGUACCCGUACUCGAUUGAGCCAGCGUCGGGGCCCCAACCUGCGUCAUCGAUGUAGAGCUUGUCGCGACAACUCUUGGUCAUCCGGCCCACUGCGUAUCCCUUGAGUCCUUCGAAAUUGCCCUCUAAGAACUUGAAACCAUCGUGCAAUAGCCCCACGGUGGGCGCCAACUGUCGUGGAAUUAUCAUGUCAGAUGUCCUAGUGUGAGGACUUAGUCGUGGAGCAAUCGCAACGAGAUUAGCUUAAAGGGGUUAAACCGGACAAAGGACACGGGGAGUUUAUACUGGUUCGGCCUCUUGCGGUGAAGGUAAAAGCCUACGAUCUAGUUGUGGUGGAAUUGAUGGGGUUUUGAUGACUAGGGAGCGAGUCCGCUUUGCCUAGCUCUCGAGUUGUUGUUUCUUGUCCUUGAACCGCCGCCGGGUCGUCCCUUUAUAUACACAGGUUGACGCCCCGCGGUUUACAGAAUCACGGCUGGCUCAUACACAUGUCCGGCUCGGUUUUUGCCCUUUCCUAUCUUACAACACAAGUUACAUAGUAUAUGGCGGUUUAUGUCUACGGGCCCUAAUCCGCCUUUGGACCCUGGGCCUCUAAGUCUCUUCAGUAAAGCGCCAUACUCCUUGUCUUCAUGGGCUUCAAUAUGGAUGACUCGUUACAGAUAUAACCCAGCCCUACCUGGGCGGUUUAUACUCAGUAGUUAUAUCCUCAAUAGAACUAUUUGACAACCAAAUACAUAAUGUCGUCCAACAAAUCACAUAAAAUGACCAGGUUGGCAUGUACCAUACACUCCCUCUGUCCCGAAUUACUUGUCUUAGUACGGAGGUAAUAUAAUUUCUCCCCUCCUGCUGCACAAAAACCAAUUGGACCUACUGUUUUCAGUACAACAGCAAUUAAUGCUCUGCCCAAUUGUGUUUCACUAGCAACAGCUGCUAAAUGUAGUUGUACUGUCCAUAAACUUCAAAAUUUUAGAUGGGGUAUACCGGCAACGUGAAGGCUAGAAAUUCAGUAGUGGCCAUGUUUUGAAUUAGGUAAUACCUGCCACACUCGCCAACAUGUUGUUAGUAGUAUGCUUAAAAUCCAUGAUGGGACUAGGAAGGCAACACCACUGUUUACAUGUUAGUAAUAAGGUCGAGCGCUUCUUCCAUGCAUGACAAUAACACUGAUUUGUCUCCAGUUGAAAACAACCAAGCCGAAAAGCAUAGUAUAAGGCCAUGUAAAUAUACUCGGUUAAUUUAUGUUCAUUCCAAUCCAUUAGCAUAACACAGAAACAUAGUGUAUACUGAUUAGAUAUAAUCGACAACAUGUUAGGGCGGCAAUCUAGCACGCCAACCCACAAGGUGAUCAGAAUGAAAUUAUAUACACCCAGCACAGCGCAAGAAAGGCAGGUGUGCAUCUUUACUCCCUAAAAUAAUAAUCAAUUAAAGAGCCUGAAGUGUGUUGUUUGUCAAACCUGUCCUGUUUGAGUUCAUAGUAAUCUUGAUAUGUCCCUCUCUAUACUACACGCCAAUUUAAUUCUGGUAAUUAGAUGGAUAUAAUACCAUAGUCAUCACUCAUUAUUAUAGGUUUCCCCUUUUUGUUUGCAAACUCUGCAGACUGUCCGUACAUGGCAAGGUAUUAACGAUGGAAGCUAAAAAUCAUGUCUUUUUUAAAACGACAGAGCCACGUUUAGCUUGGCAUGUGAUCCAGCGUACCUGAGGUGGAGCACCGGUGGUCGGUGUUCCGGCGAAGUUGGUAUAACAGCGAGAUUGGAUGCUUCCAUAGAGCGCUCGAUGCCUAUUAUGUGGCAAAGGAGGGAGUUUAUGUGGAGUCCGUGUCUGGCACAAGUUGAUGGCAUGGUCGAGCAUGACAUAACACUGGCAAAGGAGGGUGGAAGAGUCCGUGUCCGGCACCCGUUGAUGGCGUAAUCGUCCUGCUUUGCACAUGAACGGAUAAGACCUACAAUGGACAAUAUGUAAACCUGAGACUAUUACAUGUAGCAUCUAAAUAACAAAGAAUUGGAAAUAUUACCAGAGAGAAAACCCACUCUGCUAAACAAGCAAUAGUACUUGGACUAAAUAUGGUAUUUAGACAUAGCCGGCCAUUAACAUGAGGUCAUUGUUUUGGGUAUUAUCAGUAAUGUGCUUAGGGAACGUUUGCGAGCUUCUAGGGAAAAUAUUCUGUAGAGCUUAGGCUUAGGUGCACCCCCUUAUCUAGCCAUCCAUCUCUGCAUCAUGAUUCGUGCAAGAACUUUUCUCUUUUUUGUUUCUUCCAAAUAAAACAACAUAUGAACUUCAUACUUUGCAGCACAACAAAACAUUCUAACUAGAAUGUGGGAAAAAAACUUUCAGAUUUUUUCGUGCAUCAUAAGUACUGAAAAUAAUAUUUUUGAAUAAAGAAAAUCUCAUUUUGUAUAUUUAUGUUGGUCAAAAAAAUCUGUAAGUUUUUUCUCUCAUUGUAGUAAGAAUGUUUUGCUAUCUUGCAAAGCUUGAAGUUCAUAUGUUGUUUUUUUGGAAGCAACAAAAAAGAGAAAAUUUCAAGCUGUAAGUUAGUUGUAUAGCACGGAUCUCAAAGCUAUACUGGAUGGUAUGGAUAGGAGAUGUCCAUGAGCCUAAGCUCUAAAAAUCCACGCCCCUAUUGAUAGCCAGAAGCCAUGGCUAAUGUAUCUGAUCUAUGACAAGAACAUGUGUCAUAAGUUAUCAGCUAAUUACAUGACAGACAAUCUAGCAUGGAUUGAAGAGUUUGCAGCUUAUCAGAACUUUUUCCUGAAGUUUUGAUGGUCUAUUGAUAUCUAAUACUGUAAUUACUAAUUGCAUAGAAUAGCAGUUGGUGCAUGAAUCAGAAUCAAUAGAGAUGGGAAGCCAGUCUGCGGGCCUACUUGUGUUCGUCAAUGAAUUGCAUUGCAUAAGGACCAAACUUCUUUUGGGGAGAUCAGCCGCAAUAGCAUCGGGGGUGCAUAGCUACAUCAACGACGGAAAGGGCCAAGAACGGAGACUGCUGCUACCAAGGGCAAAAUCAUACAUGUGCGCAGAGGAAGGAGGACGUUCCGAAGCCCUCCGACCAGAGCGGCGCGAAUCCUGAAGGCGUAGCCGGAGGAAGCACGCGACGGGGGACGCGCCGAGCAGCGCAAGCCUCCGAGGUGUGGCGCUGGGGAGGAGCCGCCGCCGAUCCCGCCGGAGGAGGUGUCCUGAUCUAGCAGUAGCACCGGAGCUAGGGUUCCGCAGCUGGUGCGAAGACUGGCAAUUUAGGAUUUUGGGGGCGGAGGAGAUGGGGAAGGCCCCGUUCUCUUCAUAGGAUUAUGAAGCAUAGGAAAAUAAAAAAGUGUAGGAACCGGGAUUCCUUGUACUCCCUCCUUCCAUCUAUAUAGGGCCUAAUGCGUUUUUCAAGGCUAACUUUGACCAAAUAUUAAAGCAAUAAUAUAUGACAUGCAACUUACACAAAGCACACCGUUAAAUUCGUGUGUGAAAGGAGCUUUCAGUGAUAUAAUUUCCACAUUGUGCAUGUCAUGUACUAUUAAUCUUGUCAAUAGUUAAAGGCGGUCUUAAAAAACGCAUUAGGCCCUAUAUAGAUGAAAGGAGGGAGUAAGUACAAUACGGAGGAAUUGAAACAGAGGAAAGAGACAAUGGCUGCGCGUUCGGAAUAUCGGAUGGGCCACCAGAGGUCGUACUAGUACUAGUCAAGCAGCAACAAUAGGUAUGAGAGUUUUUUAUUCGCAUAUAGUCAUUUUUCUCUCACACCUCAACUCUAUGACAGUAUAUUUUACUCAGCUCGUCAGGAGGGCAGCCUCGGGCUUCCGCCAAAAAAGUGAUCAGAGUAGAUGUGUUUAUUCCUAUGGAAUCAACACUGUUACGAAUAAUUUCCUCUGAUCUACUGUAGCAGAUUCCUUUGAAAAGAACGCAGCAAAGGAAAAAGAAACCAUGGAACUCACAAUUCCUUAGGAAUGUGUAGAAAUCCUGGGAAGCGAACGGGCCCGAAGUGGGGAUUGGGGAAUCGCAGAGGCCGCGGUGGCUGGAAUUUUUUAGGGCGCGCGGGGAAGUCCGUCGGGGAAGAAGGAGUCCGACCGACGUGGGCUCGCUUCUUCUGGAUGUGCCGUACGACAAAACUGGGGUUGGGCCGUAUAUCGAGGCUCAGGCGGGCGACGACGGGCUUUCGAAGCCGUUCCAUUGGAGGACGUACAUACCGCCGCCAGGGCUAUGGGCGUGUUUGGUUCAUGUCCUGGCUUCGUGCCUGGUAAAAUGCAGCGCCUGGUGUUGCCCUGGGAAAGAGAGAAAAACUGACUGGCGAGGCACAUGUGUGCAUGUGAUAUUUGGUUGGUCCCCUGGCCUGGGACAAAUAGUUAAACAUAAAAAAGACAGGUUGACAACUUGAUAAGAUAGUAGGUACAGCAUGCAUGUACUUAAGUAGCUGGAAAUCGUAUGUGCCUGGAAGCCAGGCGUCCGACUCCAUCGACCUGGCCCAGGCUAAGCAAGCCGCCUGUGAACCAAGAUGCAUGGGACCUCCAGGCCAGGGACGUCUCCGAGAUGUCAGGUUGGCAACCAAAUAAUGUCCACACAGUUCUCAGGCCAGGCCACUGUGAUCCAAGGCUGCAACCAAAUAUGCUCUAUGUCUCGGAGAGCUCCCUCACCGGCGCCUUAUGCGCGAGCGCUCCGGUAGCAGCUCUUGCUGAAGGUUUUUUCUCCCUCGCGUCAGAUUAGGCCGGCCCAUUCGCGCGAGCAUACCAAGUAAAAAAAUACAGGGAUAUUGCGGGCACUGCUAGCCACGCCACCUAGCUCCUAUUCGUGGUUAGCUGGGAGCGCCCUACUUGAGUCGGUUGAAGCUGGGUUUUUUUCUUUUUCUUUUUCUUUUUCUUUUGUUCCUUCUCUUUAUCUUCUCCAUUAUUUUUUCAUCCUGUUCAUUCUCUUUUGCAUUUUUUCUUCAUUUUCUUUUUCUUUCAUUUAUUUUGUUUCUUUUUUGGUUUUCUUUGUUAUUUUUUGUUAUUAUUCUAUAUUUUUCGUAUUUGUCAACAACAUUUUUUAAUACACUUCUAACAUUUUUCCAAUACAAAUUAAACAUUUUUGUAAUUCAUGAUCAACAUUUUUUAUAAACAUUUUUCAAAUGCUCCAUUAACAUUUUUCCAAAAAAGAUUAAGAUUUUUAUUAAUACAUGAUCAACAUUUAUUCUACACAUUUCUAACAUUUUUUAAAUGAUUGAUUACCAGUUUCUAAUAAAAACAUUAAUAGUUUUUAAAUGCAUGGUCAACAUUUUCUCUAUACACAGCUAAAAAUUUCCAAAAGCUUAAUUAUUAUUUUUUAAAUACUUGCUCAACAUUUUUAAAUACUUGAUUAACAUUUUUAUUUACAUGAUAAAAAAAUUCAUCAUCUUUAAUACAUGAUCAACAUUUUUUAUACACAUUUAACAUUUUCCAAAAGCUUGGUUAACAUUUUUGAAAGACUUGUUGAACAUUUUUCAAAUCCUUGGUUAACAAUUUUAUAUACAUGAUAAAAAAAUUCAUCAUUUUUUAAUACAUGGUCAAAAUUUGUUUCAUAUACAUUUAGCAUUUUCCAAAUGCUUGAUUAACAUUUUUCAAAUACUUGUUCAACAUUUUUUUCAAAAUGCUUAAUUAAAAUUUUAUAUACAUUAUAAAAAAUAAUCAUUUUCUUAAUGCAUGACCAACAAUUUUUUAUACACAUUCAACAUAUUUCUGAAUGCUUAACAUUUUUUAAAUAGUUGUUCAACAUUUUUCAAAUAGCUUUUCAACAUUUUCAAAUACUUCUUCGACAUUGUUUUUCAAAUAUGUUUUGUAGAAGGUUUUUUGUAGUGUAUAUAUUUAGCAUAUUUUAAUGUAUGUACAAAAGUACAAAAUCAAAGCAAAAAUAGAAAACAGAAAACAGAAAACGAAAAUGAAAAAGAGGUUGUAGACUGCCGCGCGCCGGGGCCUGCCCAUCUCGCUCUCUCCUUCAGCGAGACUUCCUCUCGUCUUGCUAAAGGCAAGGUAUAGGGGCACCCCACCGUAUGCGCCAGGACGAAAUCAGUGCCCACGCACCUGGCUACGUGGGCGGGCCCAAGAACAAGCCGUAGAGAUCGCUCACGACGGGCGCUUCCCCGGCUUCCUGGUCGAUCGUUCCGUGGUUGAUCGGUCAACCAUUGACCAUUGACUUCGAGAGAGAAAAUCAAUUAUUCAGGAAAAAAUCGAAAUAAAAUGCUCACAGUUUUCAAAAAGUUCAUCAAAAUUAAAAAAAGUUCCUCAAUUUUUUAAAAAAUUCAUAAAAAUUUGAAAAGUCAAUAUAGGGAGAUGAGCGGCGGCUGAGUAUAAUUUUUACUCCACUAACGCCGAUUGGGGAUCGGCUGGGUCCAGUUAGAGGAGUAAAACCGGGAUUUUAGUCCUCUAAUCGGUUAUUGAGGGUCGGUUUGAAAUACCAUAAUGCAGCAAUUCAUGGCUUUGGAAGCUCUGAUCUGGUAGUAGAAAUUGCACUUCACCGAAUUGGAAGCUCCAAUGUGACAGUUGGAAGUCGUAGUUCAUCAAGAUGGAUGUUUCAAUUUGAGAGUACAUGAUGAGGACAUCUCAGUUGAAAGAACACCAAUCAUCCCUAGACAAACACCAAGUUGUUACAAACAAAUACAUAAUCGGAUGCAACACAACUCGAAGGUGAAAGCUACAAAUGAGGAUUGCACUAUUCCUUUGCGUGGAUAUUAUCUACUUCCCUUCUACAGUUCUAGUUAUCUUUUGUAGAUCAAAUAGAGUCGAGGACGACUCUUCAUUAAGGGAGGGGGGGAUGAUGAACACAACUUUAUGUGUAUAUGUGACAUUUCAAAAAAUGUGCAAAAUUUAGAUGGAAAGAAUUACUAAGCCGAAUCAAGCAAACACAUAUCCAGGUGAACGCUAACUUAAGUUCAUACUAUAAUCUUGAAUACAUGGUUGCACUUUCAUCUCCAUUAUUUUGGUUUAACUUAGGUACAACAUGGAAGCAAUCCAACAACCAAUGAGCUCUUGAAGCAACCGCUUUGGAAGAACAAGUUGGAGAAAAUAAGUUUCAAGUGAAGCUGAUGUUGUCAGUUUUUACCUAUGAUGUUUUGGUGUGCCUCACCCAUGUGAUGGAGAUAUAGGGUCAUAGGGGUACAUCAACAGAAGCUACAUCAAAUUAUCUUUCCAAUGCAAAAAACCUCACAUCAUUUGGAGUUGUGAGUCAAAAGUACUAGUCAUUCUCGUGGAAGGUGUCCAGGCUGUCAAGACUUCGCGAAUUUCCGAGGAGCUCUCCAACAACUCCCAAAGUUGACUGCUUAUUCACCCAAGAAAGCCAUGCAAACCUGCUUACUUUUAAAACCAUUUUCACACCUACCUAAGGUGGGUUGUCCCUGCUAUAAAACCCCAUCUCCUCCAUCCUCUAGAGAACCUUUUAUCAAACCAUUAGCUACAAGCUUAUGCAGCAAGACUGCUAGAGAGAUUCGAGAGAUCUUGCUACAUUUUCUCUUGUGAGUUCAUCCGGAUUCGCGAGAAAGAGCCUCUGGUCCCCCCUAGUUCGUGAUCUACGGUUCCGGCCGUUUUGUGUGGAUUAGUCCCGGUUUGUUAAAAGUAAAUUUGAGAUCAAGGGGGAGAAUGUUAGGUUGAUCUCCACCGUGUGGGCCCAAUGGCCCAUCGGGCAUCUGCGCCCUGAUCGGGGGCGCUCAACCCACUAUGGUUGAUGGACCCCUGUGACCCGCGAUAUAUAAACAGAUGUGGGGUCCGGGGCACGACUUACGAGGUUAAUCGCUGCCACAAUCCCCAUCGACAUUCCCUACCGAUCUAGGGUUAGCGCGGUGCCCAUGGGAAGCACACCACCGCUGCCAUCUCUCUGCCAUCACCGGACGCUGCUUCACCAUGGCCGGCACCGGUGGGAGCACCUCAAGUGCAGGAGAAGGUAAUACUCUACACCCCACUACCGAAAAUCACUGACCCAUACGAUCUAGUGGGUCUAUCAGGUUCCACUAUCUUUUAAUAAGGUAACAAUAUCAAAAUGAGGCCAAAGCAAAAUAAAAGAGAUGUUUCAGCUACUCACAACGGAUAAAUCAAACGUACCAACCAAGCACGCGGCAACACGUAUUACAAACGACUUAUACGGCUGGCUCGGACCGGCGCAGAUGCAGAUCCUUCAAAAGGACCCGUAUAAAAGAAUAUUCACGGAAUAUACUUUUUUACGGGUCGUCUUUUGCAGGGUCUGUUCGGACACCGCCCCGUCGACCCGGAAACAGAAAACGCUCAAUUCUCAUAUUUGACAUAAGUUCCCACAAAUAAACUCAAAUUCAAACAACAUAACACAAUUUUACGCCCAAAUAAAAGCCAAGUUCAGUAUGAGAAACGCAAAAGAGGGCCUUGCAAAAGUUACGGCCAUGUCCGGCAUCAUCUUGGUCGAUCUUCACUCCGUGCCAUCGAGUCCACCUUGAAGUUCAUCGGCACCACUUAAUCCACCUCCGGCGCUUGUCCCAACUCCCGCACCGAAAUCAUCGACAUUGCCACCAUAUGGAGCAGAGAAAACAUCUCCGGAACUGUAACACGGACCGGCCGACGCGACCAUUCUCCUCUUGAAGAUUUCUGUUCUUGCCAUAUCAUGCCAUGUUUUGGUGAGGUCGUCCAUGUCAUCGCAGCAGCGUUGGCACUGGGAGCGCGAGCCUUGGCGGCGGGGGCUGACGGAUUCCCACCCUGCACGACCACAUUGCCCUGCCGCUUGCGGGCAGGCGCGACACUAGCUGGAGCGACCGCGGGGCCAACAUGGCCGGCGGCGAGAUCCACCCGAGAGGAAGGGGCAUGUGCGACCUCAACGGUGACGAGGGGCAGCUAGGAGUCGUCCAUUGUGGCGAGGGACGGCCGCGGAGGAUGCACCGGAGCGUGCGGCGGCGGGGCAAUGGUGGUGGAGGGUGGGGGAGCGGGAAAGGGCGCGUGGAAAUGUCCCUCCCACCAAAUCUCGCUGCGGAUGGGGACUGCGCUCGGGUCGGCCUCCCAGCCCGUGAAACUAAAGGUUGGAGGAAAAAAAUUGCCGCGCCCCGUAAAAAUAUUUACGGGCCGAGGCAUGAUGCGGGGUCUGAUCGGACAGGUUUUUCUGCCCUGCCCCACACUUUGACGAUUAUUUUGCGGGUCAGAACGGGACGAGGGGUCUGCUAAAAUUGCUCUAACUCAGCGAGCUGCUCAGCUGCAGAUAAAAUGCAACUACCCCGGGAUGAGCCCAUACUAGGCCCUACCUUCGUGGAGUACCUGGCUAUGCAUGCAUGCGAGCGUACCUGGCAGCGUACUGCAUAAAUAAAAUAAUUAAAGUGCAAUCGAAAGAUGUUAUAAUUAACUAGCCGGCGUUUAAACCGGCUAUGGAUUUUUUUUUCUGCAAAAGGGCUAUGGAUAUGUAUUGUGGUGAAUUCAUAUAAGUUGUGUUAUUACAUACUCCCUUCUCAAAAUAAGUGUCUAGGGAGUAUUAUUGUACUUGCAGUGCUUAUGGGUUAAUAUUUAUAUAGUUCCACCAUUAUGUUGAGUACGGUGUUUGUCCCUCGCUCUGGAAAAAUUCAGAAUAGAAACCCACUAAUCAAAAUGUCUUUCACUCAUUUUAUCAUCUCUCACACCUUUUCUCUGCGUCGUGCAUUUUCUUCUUCGGAUGCGAUCGAACUUUUUUUUGCGUGUACAGACAUAAUUCAUGUUGGCACUAUCUUCCUUUUCUUCUGCCCGUCAGCUCUCUCUGGCUCCGCUUACAUCGUCCCAUUCUGUAUCGGUCUGUCAUAAACUCAUAAUGAACAUAUAUACACUCGUCUCUUACUACCUCGGCUCCCAUUUUUAUAGCUCCAUCGUCAUGUGUACACCUUCCACCACAGCAGCAAAUCUCAUUCAUGUUUCACGUCGUCUUGGACGCUCUCUUCACCUGUCUUCACCAGUGGUUACAUCAUCGAUCUAUCACUCCAAUAAUACUUACAUAUUAAAUAAAUAAUAUUUACACAUUGUCUAGCGGCCGAGUUCUUUUUUAUCUUCAUAUACCAUGCACAAGACUUCAAAUUCAGCCGCAAUCGCCCGCUUCACUCCCUUAAGACCGAGGGGAAUGAUGGAAGUUAUAUUGUGUUCGAUUUAGAGAUAAAAUAUCUUUAAACAAUGUACAACUUGUCUUGUAAAUAAAGUUUUUUGACAAAAGACUUGGACGAAGCAGCUUACAUAUUGCAUUUAAGAUCUAUAGAGAUAGAUCUAGAUGCCUAAGGGCAUCGAAAAUGCAGACUUCCAAACCGAAACCAUAUCCGUCCACGGAUACUGAUGCAGAAGCCGGCCAUCCAACCAUUGCCGCAUACAAUUCAAAAUGGAUUUCAUAAACCGGAAGAAAUUCAUGCAAAGAGUGAUUUUCAUAUAAACUUGACUGGACGAAAGCAUUUACAUUUCGGACAUAUUUAAACUAAAUUAUAGUGGACUAGGCUAGGCUGUUCUAACCUAGUCUAUCACCAGCCGCGGCGGAGCUCGUUUCCCACGAUAUGUCUUUCCCAUGUCUGGCAGCAAGCUCACCAAAUCGUCGUGAGCUCCGGAGCUAAAUGUUUCAGCGGGAGGGGAAGAAUAGCCUCCCUCUCGAUGAAGCCCUGAUUAGCGAUUGGUUUUGGGCCGGGGGNNNNNNNNNNNNNNNNNNNNNNNNNNNNNNNNNNNNNNNNNNNNNNNNNNNNNNNNNNNNNNNNNNNNNNNNNNNNNNNNNNNNNNNNNNNNNNNNNNNNNNNNNNNNNNNNNNNNNNNNNNNNNNNNNNNNNNNNNNNNNNNNNNNNNNNNNGGCAAGUCGCGAGAUGUGUAACCUGGCGAGAAGGUGAUGAUGGCCUUCCUGGGACCCAAGCGACGGCGGCCUCCCAUGGUCCACUUUUCCUCGCUGUCAGCGAAGGUUACGGAUGUGCCGACUUCAUCGUCAUGGUAGCGGGGCGCAACGGACGCAGAGUUGCCGACAUCAUAGGUGGUGCCCCAGUCAAAUUCCUCUACCACCGUGUCAACCUCCCUUAACAUGGCUUCUUUCUACGCCUGCUGGACGUCGUGCCGCCAUCACGCGGUGCGGAUUUGGCAGGCGGUGGCGGUGGCCAGUGUGAUAGCCUGGUUUUUGCAUUCUCUCUUUUUCCAGACUUUCAGUUGCCUUUGCUUUGGAUUUGGUGUUUUGAAUCAAUUCAGUUGGACUUGAACACUUGGGCAUACCCUUGAUUUUCACCCAAGUGACCCAUCCACCUCUAACUCACCUUUUCUUCUCUGAAAAACUCCAACAAAAGCCAAAUGGAUAUUUUUCAUAAAAGAAAAAUAUUCAUNNNNNNNNNNNNNNNNNNNNNNNNNNNNNNNNNNNNNNNNNNNNNNNNNNNNNNNNNNNNNNNNNNNNNNNNNNNNNNNNNNNNNNNNNNNNNNNNNNNNNNNNNNNNNNNNNNNNNNNNNNNNNNNNNNNNNNNNNNNNNNNNNNNNNNNNNNNNNNNNNNNNNNNNNNNNNNNNNNNNNNNNNNNNNNNNNNNNNNNNNNNNNNNNNNNGACUUCAGAGAUGGAAGCUCCAAAGCAACCCCUAGAUUUCUUGCUCCAAAAAUCCUGAAUAAAUUCACAAAUAUUCUUUGAGACCCUAGGGCACCUUCCUGAGCAAAAAUAUUGCAUAACCUUUUGUAAUAUUUUUGCUACAGAAAAUCAUUUCUGUUCUGGACAGAAUGAUCACUUUGCACAUCAAGUAUAUUUUUGCUUGAGCUUUUGGGGUUGAUCUUUUCUGAGCUUGAUUAUCUUCCUAAGAGAUCACUAAACCCCAAAGCACAAUCCUUAACUCCCACUAGAUUUUUCUCAGUUAAGCUCACAAGUUUCUGUCCAGAAACUUGCCAGGAAGAUAGCCACUCCCACAGUGCACCUGUGAUCCAACCAAGCGUGCAAAACAACUAAAAUCACUAAGGACUAGCUGCCAGAUAUGUUGUUUGGGCUUAGCUCAUCCUGAUGCCAUAGUUCACGCGGUGACCACGUUCGUCCAAGCUGGCUGGCAUGCGUCCGACGUGCUCUGCAUUGCGCCAACGCCUCUAUUUCGCGCGUGCUCGCUGCCCUCGCUGCAAAACCGUGCCAACCGCGCCACCAUCUUCGUUUGAGUCCCCUUAACUACACCACGACAUUGCGGCGAGCAUGGGCACGGCGCGGCCAACGCAACAGUGCGCUCGUGCCCCUGUGCUCUUUGCGUACCACGCUCCUAUGCUCGUCGCAGCUCGCCUACAGCUCCCGCAUGACCUCCGGCGUCUUCCCCCUCUCUCACUGAUGCCAUUCAUCGGCGGCGAGGCUCCAAAGAACUCCGGCGAGCUCUCGAUCCCCGUCUCGGCCUCGGCUAUAAAUAGAGCUCCCCCGAGCUCGUUCCUCUCCUCACACACACUCAUCACACCUCCACACACCCGUAGAGUGUCGUAGCCCAGCCGGGCAGGCCUCAGGCCGCCGUCCCCGCCCCGAGCUCCCCGGCGAUCCCCCUCCUUUGCCCCCACCCGCUCUAGAGCCGCUCGAGCUCAACUGACCCCUCCUGCGUGUUCGUGCCGAUCCACUGGUGCGUGCUGGUGCUGUUGGAGCUGCUAGACUGGCCCUGCGUCACCGAAGCCACCACCUCCGACGAGCUCCGCCCGCUGCCGCCGCUGGAGAGCUCCGUUCCGACCCCGUCCGGCCACCCCUAGCCACGCUACGGGUACGGGCAGGUCCGUCUCCACCUACUCUUAAAUCCUAUCCCUCUAGAUCUCGUUGUCGGGCACUCCUCGCCGGAGAAAGCGCCGUCACCGCGCUGCCCGUCUCUGUUUCUCUCUCUCUCCCCCUCUGGACUGACAGCUGGGGCCGCUGUCAGUCACUCAGGCUGCGCUCGAAGCGGUAUGAGUGGUGGCGCCCUGGCGUUUUACGCCUUCUACGUCACCCCCCUGGUUUUUCUUUUUAAUUCAAAUUUAGUUCAAAUUUGACCAGAACUUUGACUAGCUAUAACCUUUAUUCUACAAGUCCAAAUGAGUUGAUUCUUUUUGCAUUCUGUUCUUACUGGAAAAUCCUAGCAACACACCCAAGAUGGGAUUUUUCCUUUCUACCUAGAAUUCCUGGUAAUUUUCAGAAGUGUUCUUGAUAUUUUCUUUUUGUCAUUUGAAUCAUUUUCAGAAGGUGGAGCUUGUCUUGAAGGCAUCCAGGAGGAGUGUGAAGCUCCUCUGCACUAACGCAAGCCACAACAACAUGAUCAUGGUGUGUUUGCAACAUUCAUGAUUUUCUACUUGAAUUUAUAUGAUAAUCAUUGCAUAUAGUAUUAAAAAUAGAUGAUGCUUGUGUUAUUUAGUUGUUAUGAUCAAAAUUCUUAUUUUCCAGAAAUGAAUGCUCGAACUAGUGAGUUAUAGCUUGAGUACUUGAUCUAAGUAAAUUUUGUCAUGACUAUGGUAUUAUGAGCAUGAGUAUUGUUUUUUGCUAUAUGAAAAAUGAGUUUUAUUUGAUAAAGGCCAACUAAAGUAAUGAGUAGAAAUAACCAGUAAGAAAGGACCAGAAAUGUUGCAAGUUGAGUUUGUGCAAGUAGAACUUUGAAUAAGGUUGAUCUGGUAUUGUUAAAGUGAUAUAUGAUGCAUGAUACAUGGUUGCAUGAGCAUGGCAUAUUGUGACUCGGGCAUUUUUAAUUUCAAGUUAAACCUAAUGAUAAUUGAACUUGAACUUAAAAGUUGGUCGGGUCAUGGUGCCAUGAAAUCAGGCUGCCAAUUGCAACCACAUUUGCCUUAGUAUGGGGAGGCCGUAGUCGUUCCGUUGUCAUGCCUCUUGUCGGUACCUCCAACUAGGGAAGGUUAUGGGCGUGCGUUCCUCUGGCCUGGUAAGCAGACAUAAUCUUGUGGACUUGUUGUUGUUAUGGUACCGUGUCCCCAUUUGGGACGGUUUGUUUGCCACGAUGGUGGUAGUUUUGCCUUUGGUAGGCUGGGUCACCCAGGACUGAUCCCAGAGGGGAGUUGGUCGGAGUGGACGUAAGAGUGCCAUGGCAAUGGGAGGGUUCUGUCGGAAUGUCGUUGGUCCACCUGAAUGGGAAUGCGAGGCCAUGGGUUCCAUGGUGUGGGUAAAGUGUGCUACCUCUGCAGAGUGUAUUAAUCUAUCGAUAGCCGCGCCCGCGGAUAAGGGCCCAGUUUGGAAGUAAGUCACACCAUGGAUCAACUUUCAUAAAUAAUCUUGCACACUAAGUUAUUUGCAUUGCAAUUGAGUUAUGAUAACGUUAGUGAGACUAACUGUUGUGGUAUCAUUCGUGAUCCGGGAGUGGUCACUGGCUGGGUUACGAGGUAACCUAUUGAACCCAGUGUGGUUCUAUUGGUGUUCCGUCGUGAUCACUGUUCAGUUGCAAGGCAACCUGUUGGUAAGAGAGUCCGAGUGACUCGAUGCACAAGUUUGGUCACUACAUGAGUAGCAUGUUGAUAGUUGCAUUAAACUUGUUUAAAUGUCAUGAUGUUGUUUGCCAUUAUGGUUUUGCUUGUUGCGAGCUUGCAAGUACAUUCAAUGUACUGACCUGGCGUGUUAUGCCAGCUUUCAGGAAAGUCUAUCGCAGUGCUGCCGUGUCUAGACUGUGUCCACAUCGGUGACCCUGUGCUAUGGAGUCCCACUACGUCGUUGUUCCGCUGCUGUGUAGAUGUCGUGAUCGAGGCCCUUUAUGUUCACUAAAUAAUGUAUAUAUGUUCAGCCGCACCGGGUGUGUCGCUUGGCCUCGCUACUUGAUGUAAUGUAACACUAUGCUUUAGCUAGUUUCAAUAAAGCGGUGAUUUCUGUACCAAGAUGUUGUGUGUUGCCAGAAGACAUGAUCUCUGGGUUGGCAAUGCAAGGUAAAUCGGUCGCUCUGAGCCGAGGUGCCACAGCCAACCUAGACGGGUGACGAUGGCCCAUGGUGAUGCCGGCCUGGACCGGUGAUGGCGGUAGCGCCGGCUCCCAAGAGCUUGCCGACAAGCCAACCUGUAUCCGGUUGGCUCAGCGGGCCACCGAGUCGGCUGCAAUGCCAAAGAGUUCCUUCGUCUAUUCGUAAGAGAAGCUGUCCCACACACGACUUUGGAGCUCGAGGCCAUGAUGUGUGCUGCAAAGAGGAGAUGGAGAGCGGAGGUGUUGUGUGACUCCUGCCCAGCGCCUAGCCACAUUUAAAUAGGGGUGAAUGCCAGGUGCCAGAGGUAGGGUGUUUAAUGCCGGUCGGCAUACAAACAGAUGUGUGGUGCAUGGAGAGUCAAAGUAGGUUCCUCGGCAGACGGCUUGGUUAAUGGAGGUAGGCGGGCAGACAGAUGCCGUUUCGAUGCGGAGCAAAGAAGCGUGCAAUGGGAGACGCUUCAAUGUUGGCUUUAGUGAGAGGUCGUGUACGCUCCGAGCCGGAAUGAAUGCGGCGCUAACCGUUUUUGGCAGAAAAGGGCACGGCCGAGGGAGUGGAUUUUGGGUACAUGCCCGUAUUGAAAGGCAAAACGCGUCCGGAUAGCAUGGUCGGAUAACGAUGCCCUAAUAAGGCCUAACCUAAGCAUCGUGCAUUGAUGUACCCCACCAAAAAAACACGUACGUUUUUAAAAAAUGGGCGCUUUAUUACUUAAAAGAUUUAAGCAUUACAUCCGGCCUCUGCAUAGCUAAGAUGCACACAGCCAAACAAUACCCUCUCAUUCAAAUGAAAAAAAGGCAAAAUACAAGAAAAACAUGCAGUAUCCGUAUAACGCCUAAAGCGGAGGGGGGCCAAUCCUAAGAUCAUGUUGUCACCCAUGUUGGGUAAAAGUAUCCCUCGUCGUAGCCUUCCAAUUAUGUACACACCUUCAUAAACAGGUCUCGAUUCUCCACGCGUUGUAGAGAGGACCAUAAACGAAGAGUCCCAGUACAUCUGUAGAUAACCUACAUAAGAGAAGUACUUUUAUCGUUAAAAACCUUAUCAUUUCUACAGAGCCAAAGCGACCAAAUAACUGCAAGCGCUCCCACCCUAAGAAGGGUUCUAAGCCUGUGAUCAAUCUCAUGUAGCCAGUUUUCAAAUACAUUAGCAACACUACAAGGAGGAUACAAGUCAGAAGCUAUUUGAAUGACUGACCAUAUAGAAUGAGUCAAUUUGCAUUGGAAGAAUAAAUGUUUUAUUGUCUCAUCAUAGUGACAAAAGACACAUUGCGGACUUCCAUGCCAAUUCCUCUUAAUAAUGUUAUCUUUAGCAAGAAUGACUCCGCGACGAAGAUACCAUGCGAAGAUUUUAUUCUUAAGCGAUAUCUUCAUCUUCCAGAUCUUCCUGUUAUUAUCAACUGGCACAUCAGACUGGAUUAACACUCUAUAUAUAGACUCCACUGAGAACUGUCCAUUCCCAUGUAGGUACCAUCGGAAUACAUCAGACCCAUGUGCCAAUUGCACUGUGGACAACUGCUGGAGCAGGAUGUUCCACGAUUGUAGUCUGGGUCCAAAUAAAUCCUUUCUAAAUGUCACAUUUGGCGGAAAUGAUUCCAUUACCAUGGUGAUAGUAUCACCCUUGUGACAUUCAAUGUUGUAUAGAGCCGGAUAUUGUUCCCGGAGAGUGGCAUUUCCUAGCCACUUAUCCUCCCAGAAUCUAAUUUCCGAGCCAUCCUUAAUCGAGAAAGAUCCAUAGCAAAAGAAAUAUUUCUUCGAAGCCAUUAGACCCGCCCAAAAGUGGGAAUCCCCAGGCUUCCAAUAUACUUGAGAUACUGCCUUGGAGCCCACAUAUUUCCGUCUGAGGAGGGUUUGCCAUACACCAUCUUCCGUCAGUAAUUUUAACAACCAUUUACCGAGUAGGGACCUAUUCUUAAUCUCAAGGUCAUGAAUGCCCAACCCGCCUUGGUCUUUGGGACGGCAAACCACACUUCAUUUAGCCAAUUGAUAUUUCUUUUUCCCGCUAUCUCCUUGCCAAAAGAAUCUUGAUCAGAACUAAUCCAAUCUAUGUAAAACUCCUUUCGACAACUGGAAGAAGGAGAUCAUAUAUAGUACCAUAUUAUUUAGUACUGAAUUUAUUAGGACCAAUCUUCCUCCUAGAGACAGCAGCUUACCUUUCCAACUUCUAGGUCUUUUUUGCAGCCUCUUCUCAAUGUGUUUCCAUUUAGCAUUUGUGAGUCUCCGAUAAUGUAUCGGUAUCCCCAAAUAUGUGAUCGAAAACUGCCCCAACCCGCAUCCGAACAGUUCGGCGUACAGGUGAGCCUCGUCUUGGGCCUCGCCAAAGCAAAAAACAAGUACAUUGAUGUAAUAAUGCCUGAGGCAUGAUGCCAAAGCAAUAAAAGAUAUGUUUCAGCUGCUCACAACGGAUAAAUCAUACUCCCUCUGUCCAACGCUUUUAUAUUAUGGUGCAGAGAGAAUACUUGCCAACCGAGCACACGUUAAGGGCAUGCAUAAUGAUUGAUAAGAUGAUCUUAUUUUAAGUCUAGCAUUUAAUUUAGAAAUAACAAAAAACAUAUCUACAAUGGGUCUUCUCGAGAAGACAAACUUUUCUUACAAUUUCUCUCUCCUCCGCCUCAUCAUUUAUCCUAUAUGUCAUUCCUAAGAUAGAACCAUUGUAUAUACCCUAACACGUAUUACAACGACUUACAAGCAAGCAAGGUUAGAACCAGCUACCAAUUAACUUAAUAACUAUUCCUGCUACGAGAUGACACAUGCACGUACCACGAGAUCAAAUGACGAAGCAACUUCCACAUCGGCAGAGGUGAUCUGAGAAGAAAUAACACGUGCCACAUGCCAGGACGUCUGACUAACUCAGCGAGCUUGACAGGUGCAGAUAAAAUACAUUUUUUUACCCAUCGGCUUGACUUAUUCUAACGGGCACAUGUAUUGGAAAUCGACGGCUGGCCAACUAUAAUUUGGCGAGGUACUUUUUCUCUAUUAAAGUUUCCAUACUUAGAGAAGCCAUCGAUGAUCUUGUGCAGGCAGUAUAUAUAAAUACACAACGCAUGGUGGCAAUCUAUCUCAUUGUCACAGAUACAUCUUCCCCUUUGUUUUGUAAGGCUUAGCGAUGGAGAAGCUAGCAGCAGUGGUGCUCUUAGCUCUCGCGUCCGCCAUGGCGGUCACGGCCCAGAACUCGGAGCAGGACUUCGUGGACGCCCACAACGCGGCGCGCGCCGACGUGGGCCUUGGUGAGGUGACAUGGGACGCUACCGUGACAGCCUUCGCGCAGGACUACGCCGAUCAGCGCCGCGGCGACUGCCAGCUGAUCCAUACUCCUGAUGGCCGGCCGUACGGGGAGAACCUCUACGGAGGCGGCGGCGGUGGGACCGAGUGGACGGCGACGGACGCCGUGAAUUCGUGGGUGUCGGAGAAGCAGUACUACGACCACGACAGCAACACCUGCUCGGCGCCCGAGGGUGAGUCGUGCGGGCACUACACGCAGGUGGUGUGGCGCGACUCGACGGCCAUCGGCUGCGCCCGCGUCGUCUGCGACAGCGGCGACGGUGUGUUCAUCAUCUGCAGCUACAACCCGCCAGGCAACUUCCCCGGGGUGAGCCCGUACUAGGCUAUAUGCAUCAUGCAUGCAUGCGAGCGUGCAUGUACGUACGGCGUAUUGCAUAAAUAAAAUGAUUAAGCUCUGAUAACCACAGUGUGAUCAGAUGUGAUAUAUAAUUAACCAGCCGGCCGGAUUUGAGGCCAUAUAUUGUUUAGACCGGCUGUAUAUAUGUACCGUUAUGAUUCAGGUAAUAAGUUUGUGUUAUUGUAUAAGCAGUGUUUAUGAAUGAAUAUAUGGUUCUACUAUUAUACUGUGCAUGGUAUAUGUGCCUCCCUGUGAAAAAAACCCAGUACACUUAGAAACCACUAAUCAAAGUGUCUUUCUUCCGUUUUGUCAUCUCGCACUUGUUCUCUAUGUUGUGCAUUUUUUUUCCGGAUCCCAACUCGUACAGAAAACGGAGUAGAUCUCGAGAGGGCACGCUAGGUCUUGUUCCUGAGACUCGCGCUCCCUCCUCCACGCCAUAGGCCACUCCUGCCGUGACAGUCACCCAAUCUGCCAUUACGGCUCACCCAUCUACUCCCAGGUUUCACUCUGGAUCCAGCUCCGGUCGUGGUCCCGUGCAAGCUCGCUCUCGACUAGCGGUCCAUCAUAGGUUCUGUUGGAACUAAUCUUGUUAUUAGUGCCAAAAGUAGAUGAUUAGAUCAUGUUUAUUUUGGAUUGCAUGAUGUUGUUUUAGUAGCUGACUAAGUUCUAGCUAGUUGCAUGCACGUGAUCAUGGCAGAUGGGCAUACCGGCAAGAGAGACAGCACUAAGCGAUACAGAGAGUGCAGUCAGUGGCCAGAUUGCAAGCCAUUAGUGGAGUAGUGCAUGCACGAGUUGUUAGGAUUAGUCAAGUUGAAUAGUGGCAAGCUACAUGCAUGGAUCAAGUUUGGCCUGGUCGUGUGGCCGUUGAGGAGAAGCCGCACAAGAGCUGAACGUGGGUGCAUGCAGGUAGUGGAGAGUGAGAAACGGAUCAAGCCGUUGUGGCUUGGCCAUGCGAGCAUUGCAUAUUUCCCUUUAAAUAGGCUUGUAACCAUUUUGCUAUUAGAGAUGAGGAAUACAGAAAAGGCACAAGUGCGUGUGCCAGAAAAGCUCUGCGUGUUUGUGUUCUUCCUCUCCAUUGUGUAUUACGUGAGAAGUGUAGGUGUGUCCACUGCGUACUCGCAUGUGUGUAUCCAUCGAUCUCCUGGGCCAUGCCAACAUUUGGUAUUCAGAGCCAUGGUGAUUGAAGGUUCGCGCACUCCGUCUCCGGGUCGCCGCCGUGUCUCGGCCUCGCCGGUGGUGCGCCGAGGCCGGAGCCCGACGUGGCGUGGCUGCCGCGAGGUGGUGGUGCAGCAGGAGGUCGUCCACCAGGCCAGCAGCACCGUCAUCUACCCGGCGCUGACGGCGACGAACUACUUCGAGUGGUCGCUGAUCAUGAAGGUGAACAUGGAGGCCCAACGCGUGUGGGACGCCAUCAAGGGAGGCGGGAGCUUCAGCCAGGACAGGGCGGCGCUUGCGGCAAUUCUGCGAGCCGUGCCGGAGGAGAUGCACUCCACGCUUGCCAUGAAGGCGACGGCAAAGGAGGCAUGGGAUGCCAUCAAGAUCAUGCGGGUCGGCGAUGCCCGCGUCCCUGAGGCCAAGGCGCAGACUCUCCUCAAGGAGUUUGAUGCCGUCCGCAUGAGGAGUGGCGCGACCCUCGAUGAGCUCGCCAUGCGCAUGAACGGGGUCACCAACAAGCUGCGCACGCUCGGCUAGAACCUCGACGAGGUGAAGGUCGUGAAGAAGCUUCUCCGCAUCGUGCCGUCCAAGUAUACCCAAGUAGCCAUUGCCAUUGAACAGCUUCUUGAUAUUAAAACCAUGUCCAUGAAAGAGCUUGUGGGAAGGCUCAAAACGGCGGAGGACCGGAGCGACUUGGACGAGGGCGCCAGCAACUACGACCAGGGUGGUGGGAGUCGCCUGCUCCUCACGGAGGAGGAGUGGCUUGCUCGCCACCGCAGCGGCACCGGCAAGAAGAAGAGCACCUUCGACAUCCGUAAGGUGCGCUGCUACAACUGCCAAGACUAUGGCCAUUUCGCGAAGGAUUGCACCGCGCCAAGGAAAGAGCAGGCCCAUCUCGCCGCCGCGACUGCCGACGACGAGCCGGGGCUGCUUUGAAGAUCGACAUGGAGGUGUUCGAAUAAACGACAACAAGAUUAAGGGGGUGAUUGAUAGAGUAAACCUUGUUGUCUAGGUAUUCAUCAUGUUUAUUUCG
This 42115-nucleotide long non-coding RNA is filed under the name Triticum aestivum (bread wheat). RNAcentral describes it as "long non-coding RNA (TAES_LNC007958)". Lineage: Eukaryota; Viridiplantae; Streptophyta; Magnoliopsida; Poales; Poaceae. The record is from RNAcentral.